RNAcentral lists this long non-coding RNA (2836 nucleotides) under Pan troglodytes (chimpanzee). RNAcentral's name for it is "long non-coding RNA NONPTRT006434". Lineage: Eukaryota; Metazoa; Chordata; Mammalia; Primates; Hominidae. The record is from RNAcentral.
CCGGGCGAGGUUAAAGGCACUGCAGGUGGGCGGCAUCAUGAUGUCCUGAAGCUUGCUGCGCCCGGUGCCGUCGGCCGGCUGAAGGCAGAAACAGUCACAGCACCUGCAGCUAUGGAAGGCGACGACCGAAAAUCUAAUGGGCACCUUGAUGUCAAGUUUCCAAGACCAAAGGCAAGAACAGUCAGAUCAAACUUCCGAAGAGUCAGAGAAACUAAGCGUGACCUAGAGGAGGGAGAAGGUCCUUCCGCUGUCUCCUGCAGAGCGUCUGUCGCACGUAUGAGGUGAAAUCCACACUGUCCCAUGAAGACUGUGAGGGGAGUUGCUGCCCGCACACGGCCCAGGAGCGCCAGCAGCUUGGGGACCACCACAGGCCUCAGGGUCUCUUCAGUCCGACGGGUCCAGCUGUCGAUAAAAUUUCCCGGGGAAGGAGUAAAGGACAACCAAGAACCUGAACUGCAAAAGUUGUGUUGGGGCAGGAGCUGACGGCCCCUAGGCCUAGAUCUCUGCACGACUUCGCUCAGGGACACCUGCCUCCGUGCAUGUCUCAUGGUGUGAAUGUGUCUCCUGCUCACAGGUACCGUUUUGUGUCAUGCAGUUACUGGAAUGUACAAAAGCAGCUGUGAUCUUUCUGAGAGCUGCAAAGAGCAGGAGUCUUUAUUUGGUUCACUUCUGGUCUGCAGCAACCCCUUGAUACUAAAAAAUGGAAAAGAUGUACAAAAAGAUGUCACAGCCCUUUAGAAAGCGACAUUAUCAGAAAUGUAUGACCUUCAGUCCUCCCUCCCUCUCCUAUGCCCCCACCAGACCAGGCGGCGAGAAGGAACAGGGAGUGAACAUACAACGGAAAACAAUAAAACUGAAUUUAACUGGAACAUGCUCUAAUCUUUAGUUUAUUUCUGGUUAAAAAUAUAGCAAUCCAGUGCAGUGUAGUAAAGAAGUCUGCUCGAAAGGUAGCAGAGAAACAGCUAAACAUAAGCAAAGCAAGGCAGAGUCCAUAAGAUGGGCUGGCCCCAAGACGACCGGAUGGGGAAUCCCUGCAGCGCCUCCCCGGGCACAGGGGUCCUGCGUAUGGCCGUGCCCGGACCCCUCAGGCACGUCCAUGCACACGAGAGCCAGGGCCAGGGGGCACUCGGACAUCCUGGCAAACCUUGUUCUUUUGUUUGGGUGAUGGAGCGACCCUGGUGGAGAAGGCAGAAACAUAAGGAACCUGUUUUUGUUGGACUGAACAAGUUACAUUGUACAUUUCAGGGGGUUGGAUAUGCUACAAUUUCUCAGGAAGUUUCAAGCCACUGGGUUUGAACCGCAUUCCUGUCCUGGGACCAGGCCCACUCUGGUGUAGCACUGAGGCAUCUGGAAGGAAUAUGCAUAUCUGUUAGGGGAAGUUGAGGCAGGCACAGUACAAAGAUGUGAAAACCCGUGGAGGUCAGUAACCAUGGGAGAAGGCGUCCUCUAGGGCCCUCACUGCUGGGGACACGGAAGCCCACGCGUCCACCCUGCACGCCAAGCACACACACCCAGAGCCCCGGCGCAAGGCCAGCUCCACGGCACAGCCCUCUUGGCUUCCGUGCUUAGCUGAGCCCAGGCGGAUCGGAGUGGGCCCCGGCUUCCCUGGGGUCUGGUGGGGGAAACAGCCAAAUGGGACCCACAGUGAGUGGGCAGCAGAAGAAAAAGGCUUUGCUUUAAAACUCGGUGUGGGGAGUCGGCUUCUCAUGGAAGGCCGGGGGCAGUGCCGAGAAGAGGGAAGGACCUGCAUCCAUCUUACAGGGAGGAGGUGGCCGAUCCCUCCCCCUCCCUCAGGUGUGCAGCACAGAUCUCACACAGAAAAAGGCCAGGCUACUGCCCACUGGGGUGGGCCACCCUGCCCCAUGCCUCCCGCCCAUACUUGUCACCCGUCUGUUCUAGACAGAGAAAGCAGUGAAUCCACUUUCUAAGCUCGUGUCGACGGGAGUCAGCCCUGCUGCUCAGGGGGCGCGGGUCAUGGGGCUGAGGCUCCGCCCCGGGCUGCCCUCCAUCCACACCCAAGACGGGACGUGUGACCACGAGGACAACGUCCGCUGUUACCACUGAUGUGCCGGGAUCCCUUCUGUCUCCACGUGGAGCUGGAGGGGCUGCGUGCUGGCCGCCUUCUGCCAUGCCACACAGCAGAGUGUUAUACAAGCAAAGAAUUUUGGCUAAAAUCCAAAAAACAUUACCCAGAAAAAAAGGCAAACUGUGAGUGAUACCCAAUCGUGUGGUUCUUCUGUGAGAGGACUUGGUAGUCGCUGGGCUGUCCGAGUUGCGGUCUUUCCCUUCUUGUGGUUUUGCUUUUAAUUUUAAUGUCCCUUUUUUCUACCCUUUCUCUAUUUUCGCUACCGCGACAUCUCAUCAGAUGAAAAAGUUAAUAAACAGAAUGGCGACUCCGAUGUUGAGCAAGAUCACCAUGACCACCAGGAUAGGCGCUGAGCCCUGGAAGAGAGCGAGGGGAAGAGGUGAGCGACAGCCGCGGGGGGCUCUGCCUGGGCCACCACGCCUCCCACCCACGUCUUUUCACCAAGCUAGCAGACCCUCGGGGGUGGAAGUGUACGGGAGGAUGUUAGAAACGCUCGGACACCAAAGGCCCACCAGAACCUGAGCUCCGUGAAGUCCAGACGGGGGAGAGAAGCCCCAACUGCCUGUAAGUCUGAGGUUGCUGGUCUUGGAAUUCCCUUGUGGCCCCGAGACCCUGAGUACCAGCUCUCCCAGGGUCCCCUUGGAGAGAACCACCCAGGCCUCCCUGCAAGCAAACGUCUCGGUGCGUGCGGCCUUUGUGCCAGUCAGCAGGUUUCUCCUGCCCUGUGGAACUGGGACCUCAGAAUCUCAG